UGGUGGAGUGAUUUGUCUGCUUAAUUGCGAUAACGAACGAGACCUUAACCUGCUAAAUAGCCAGGCUAGCUUUUGCUGGUCGCAGGCUUCUUAGAGGGACUAUCGGGUUCUAAACCGAUGGAAGUUUGAGGCAAUAACA
Molecule: ribosomal RNA, 139 nt
Filed under: uncultured eukaryote
Lineage: Eukaryota
Description: partial 18S ribosomal RNA
Rfam family: Eukaryotic small subunit ribosomal RNA
Source: RNAcentral